UACGGAGGGGGCUAGCGUUGUUCGGAAUUACUGGGCGUAAAGCGCGCGUAGGCGGCUUUGUAAGUUAGAGGUGAAAGCCCGGAGCUCAACUCCGGAACUGCCUUUAAGACUGCAUCGCUAGAAUUGUGGAGAGGUGAGUGGAAUUCCGAGUGUAGAGGUGAAAUUCGUAGAUAUUCGGAAGAACACCAGUGGCGAAGGCGACUCACUGGACGACUGUUGACGCUGAGGUGCGGAAGCGUGGGGAGCAAACAGG
Molecule: ribosomal RNA, 253 nt
Filed under: uncultured bacterium
Lineage: Bacteria
Description: partial 16S ribosomal RNA
Rfam family: Bacterial small subunit ribosomal RNA
Source: RNAcentral